This is a non-coding RNA of Acanthosepion pharaonis, 111 nucleotides long. The record is from the annotation of a GenBank genome assembly. Lineage: Eukaryota; Metazoa; Mollusca; Cephalopoda; Sepiida; Sepiidae.
UUACGGCCACAUCAAGUUGAAACAUUGGUUCCUGUACGAUCACCGAAGUUAAGCGACGUCGAGCCUGCUCUGCCAAGAUGGGUGACCGCUCGGAAAUACCAGGUGCUGUCA